RNAcentral lists this transfer RNA (62 nucleotides) under Chrysomeloidea sp. 8 KM-2017. Its description in RNAcentral is "tRNA-Cys". The record is from RNAcentral. Lineage: Eukaryota; Metazoa; Arthropoda; Insecta; Coleoptera.
GGUCUUAUAGUUAAAUUAAUAUUAGAUUGCAAGUCUGAAGGUGAAAGUAAUUUCUAAGGCUU